CUUGUCACCUUCCGCAGGUGAGACGCGCAUGCGUGGGCCAGGAGGUGCUGGAAGCUCCCCCAGAGAGGCUGAUGCGUUGUCUCCGUCUGCCCCCUAAAGGAGGACUUCCUCUAACCCAUUCCUUGUGCUUCCGGUGGGCUGUGAGUCACAGGAUGGACUCCCUUUUCCCCAACAGGCAGGUAGGU
This is a long non-coding RNA of Lynx canadensis (Canada lynx), 185 nucleotides long. RefSeq lists it as uncharacterized. Lineage: Eukaryota; Metazoa; Chordata; Mammalia; Carnivora; Felidae. The transcript is spliced from 2 exons. The record is from RefSeq and is a predicted model, not a curated record.